AGGUAGGGGUCAUUCUACCAGCUUGCAAAGUGCUGUGAUCUGUGCCAGCAAAGUGUUCAGGUCCAAAGCUGUACUACACUGCUCUGGCUGUCAUGAUCCAGUGUGGCUAUGCAUCAGGUCUCUGCACACCUCCUCUGUGCCAAU
Molecule: long non-coding RNA, 144 nt
Organism: Sceloporus undulatus (fence lizard)
Lineage: Eukaryota; Metazoa; Chordata; Lepidosauria; Squamata; Phrynosomatidae
Exons: 3
Source: RefSeq, a predicted model, not a curated record